Molecule: ribosomal RNA, 166 nt
Filed under: uncultured Lactobacillus sp.
Lineage: Bacteria; Bacillati; Bacillota; Bacilli; Lactobacillales; Lactobacillaceae
Description: partial 16S ribosomal RNA
Rfam family: Bacterial small subunit ribosomal RNA
Source: RNAcentral
UGGAUAUGGGCGAAGCCUGAUGGAGCAACGCCGCGUGGGUGAAGAAGGUCUUCGGAUCGUAAAACCCUGUUGUUAGAGAAGAAAGUGCGUGAGAGUAACUGUUCACGUUUCGACGGUAUCUAACCAGAAAGCCACGGCUAACUACGUGCCAGCAGCCGCGGUAAUA